ACUAUAAUAGUUUAACUAAAACAAAGGUCUUGUAAACCUUAAAUGAAUUUCUUAUAGUU
This 59-nucleotide transfer RNA is filed under the name Ornithodoros phacochoerus. RNAcentral describes it as "Ornithodoros sp. 3 BJM-2014 tRNA-Thr". It matches the Rfam family "tRNA". From Rfam's summary of the family: Transfer RNA (tRNA) molecules are approximately 80 nucleotides in length. Their secondary structure includes four short double-helical elements and three loops (D, anti-codon, and T loops). The record is from RNAcentral. Lineage: Eukaryota; Metazoa; Arthropoda; Arachnida; Ixodida; Argasidae.